Long non-coding RNA from Cydia fagiglandana, 412 nucleotides. RefSeq lists it as uncharacterized. NCBI's taxonomy places the organism in Eukaryota, Metazoa, Arthropoda, Insecta, Lepidoptera, Tortricidae. The transcript has 2 exons. The record is from RefSeq and is a predicted model, not a curated record.
AGCCGCGCGUAAAUGGCACCCCGAGAAAGGUAUUUAGUCCUAAACAGAAAAAAGAUACUGAUACUGUUCAACAAGAAACGACUUCUCUUGACAUUGACGAUGGCCCUUUUACGCACCGGGGUACGAAACCCCUUAGAGAUUUGAAUUCUCCGAGAUUAGAGAGAACAAAGACCAUUCAGCGGAUUGAAAACGAACGGCAAGAUUUAGAAAAGAUUCCCACACCCCGGCCUGUUGAAUCCGAUGAAAAAUUCGGAGACGCCCGUUGCAAAGAAGUUAAGAAAACACAAAAUAAAAGAAAAUCAUUACCGACGUCAUCACCGCCGCCGCACGUAAAUGGCACCUCGAGAAGGCAGGCACCGUGUCCACGUACGUGUUGCCCCAUUCUGACUAUUAACUUGAACGAGAAAUUGAA